ACGUAGGUGGCAAGCGUUGUCCGGAUUUACUGGGCGUAAAGCGCCCGCAGGCGGCUUGGUAAGUUCAAGGUGAAAUCUCCCGGCUUAACUGGGAGGGUGCCUCGAAAACUGCCAGGCUUGAGGCGAGGAGAGGGAUGCAGAAUUCCAGGUGUAGCGGUGAAAUGCGUAGAUAUCUGGAGGAAUACCAGUGGCGAAGGCGGCAUCCUGGCCUUGUCCUGACGCUCAGGGGCGAAAGCGUGGGGAGCAAACCGGAUUAGAUACCCGGGUAGUCCACGCCGUAAACGAUGAGUACUAGGUGUAGGAGGUAUCGACCCCUUCUGUGCCGAAGCUAACGCGAUAAGUACUCCGCCUGGGGACUACGGCCGCAAGGCUA
This 373-nucleotide ribosomal RNA is filed under the name uncultured bacterium. Its description in RNAcentral is "bacterial SSU rRNA". It matches the Rfam family "Bacterial small subunit ribosomal RNA", at positions 525 to 896 of the family's 1533-position model. The record is from RNAcentral.